Molecule: RNA transcript, 3410 nt
Organism: Patella vulgata (common limpet)
Lineage: Eukaryota; Metazoa; Mollusca; Gastropoda; Patellidae
Gene name: nucleolin
Exons: 11
Source: RefSeq, a predicted model, not a curated record
UAGCGGUAAACGCAGACUGCUGGUGAUCUAGUAACUUAGAAAAACUGAACAAAGACAUGGAAAACUGAUCUCCAUUUUCUUGGAGUUGUACUCUGUACCACGUGGUUGAAAAAUUUAGUAUUCUUAAACGCAGAGGAUUCAUGGCACGUUUCGCCAAAUUGUGGUAUAACUUGGCAAAUUCAAUAAUUUAAGAUUUUAAAUAUUCAUAAUUUGAGAAAAAUAACGGUGUAUUUUGAAUUUAACAUCGGAUGAGAUCGUACUUGUACGAUUGACCUAUAUAAGCCGCUUAAACAUGGGAAGAACUAGAAGCACGUGGUCGAUAUUUUGUUGCGAAAUAACUUGGCAAUCUUAGCACUACAAGCCAUUUAAAGUGAAGCAUGUUGGUUGAUAACCUUCAUUUUGUAAUUUUCGUAAAAUUUAUUGGGUUCUAAACCCAACACAAAAUUACAAUAUCUAAUAUGGACAUUUUGUUUGGCUCAUUGGUUAUAUAAAUACAAUUUGGCUCAAACCGGUUGGUACCAGUAACCUAGUAAACAUGAUUUUUGAUACGAAAAUUUAUAAUGUAAUUUAAGAUGUAUCCGUAAGAAAUAUUUGCUAGGAUUUCCCAAUGGACGAACUGACGAAUGGUUGAAAAUGGCUGGUGAAGAUGUCCUGUCCUAGGAUUGAGCAGUCUCCCUAGACUGUAUAUUUGCCUUUGGUCGUUGAUAACAAUUCUUCUGGUUGCUCCUCUGGUCGUUCUGGUAAAUCUCAUGCAUGGGAUCCCAAGCUGGUCGUUGAUCCCCCACCGGGGAUAGGCAUUUUGAGUUCCUUUUUCUUGGGUCGUGUGUUAUCCCUAAUCCUAAAGGGAUGGUUGGACGAAGAUCAAAGUCCAUGCAUGGGAUUUGAAUAUGGUUGUACAUCUCUUUAAAGAGCGUCUUCAAUUACCUGGGUCGUUGCUACUGGAUCCCUUUACCUUGAAGGGACGGUUGGUCGUUAUUGCCAUGUACCCCCCUGGCCCCAGGGGGAAUGUUUGUAUGUGAUGGCACCAGUCUAUGGCUGGCAGUUACCCCUAGAACCCUGUAUCUAUGGAAACUGGAGUUGAUCUGCUUGAUGCAAACUGCCCUGGAGACCAAGUAACAAAAAGGAUGUUGGAAAAUCCAAAAAAGCAAAACAGGUUGUCGAGGCUGAAAGUUCUGAAGAAGAGUCAGAAGAAGAAGAUGAGGAGGAAAUCCCAGAGCCAGUAAAAACCAAGAAAUCUAAGAAACAAAAGAAUGGUAAAGCUAAAGCCCCAGCGGCCGAUAGUGACGAGGAAGAAAGUGAAGACGAAGAGGAAGAAAAACCCGUAAAGAAAAAUAAAAAGGGCAAGAAAGAGGCUGAGCCAGAGGAUGAUGGUGACGAUGACAGUGAAGAGGAAGCACCUGCUAAGGAAGAAGAAAAUGAUUCAGAUGAGGACUCUGAAGAGGAGGAAGAGGAAGAACAAAAACCAAAGAAACGAAAACAAGAAGCCGCAGACGAAACCCCAGCAAAAAAAACAAAAAGUGAUGAAACCGUAUCCCUGUUUGUCGGUGGACUUGAUUUUGAAACUACACCGGAUACUAUUAAAGAUUUCUUCUCAGAAAAUGGAAUUGAAUUAAGUGACGUUAGAAAGCGUGAAGGAAAGAGAUUUGGACAUGUUGAUUUAGAAGAUGCUGAUGAUGUGGACAAAGCAAUGAAACUCCAUGGAUCCGAGAUCGAUGGCUGCGAAAUUAGAAUUGAUAAAGCUGACAAGAAUACCUCAGGUGGAGAUCGUAGAAGCCAGGGAGGUGGACCUAAAGGUAAAACCCUAACAGCCAGAAACUUGUCGUACGAUACCACAGAAGAAAGUUUAAAGGAUUGCUUCGAGGGAGCUGUCAGUUGUCGAAUCCCAACUUUCCCCGAUACAGGAAAAUCACGAGGACGUGGAUUUAUUGAUUUUGAGUCUGAAGAAGCCGCCGAGUCUGCGAUGAAAGUCAUGAAUGAAACAGAAGUUGAUGGUCGAACUAUCUAUGUAGAAUUUGCCCAUGAACGAGGUAGUGGAGGAGGCGGUGGUGGAGGACGAUUUGGAGGCGGAGGAGGAAGAGGCGGUCGAGGUGGUGGAUUCCGUGGUGGUCGAGAUUUUGGUGGACGAGGAGGUCGUGGGGGUGGAUUCCGAGGUGGUAGAGGCGGCCGAGGUGGUGGCGGAGGAUAUGGAGGAGGCCGAGGUGGUGGCGGAUAUGGAGGAGGUGGUCGAAUGGGAGGAGGUGGAUAUGGCAAAAAGAAGACCUUUAAUGAUGACGAUUAAACUAUUGGCUAUCAACAAAACCAAAAACCCAACAUGAAUUCAUCCCUUGAUUGGAUAGAACCAGAUCUAUUGUACAUAAUUCAAUUCUAUUGGACAGAUAAAAUACUGAGACAAAUUGACAGUUUGUUAGAUGUUUUGAUCAUGAAAAUUUUACAGAACUGAGCGAAAAACUUUAUAGAUGUGUCGGUGUAUUUAAAAAAAAUUUCAUUCAAGGCUUGUAAAAAAUAAAAAAAACAUUACCCUGUGUUCAGAUGUAGUUUAAAGAAAUUUUAUUGUUGUAAAAUUUCACCUAGCUACAGAUUAUAAAAGUUUUAUUUCUAUCUUUUAACACGAAUCAGAUUUUUUUUUUUUUUAUAUUUGUUAUGUAAAUAUUUUUUGUUAUUUUUUAAAACUUUAAUUUCUUUAGGUUAUUAGAUAUUGUUGUAAAUUUAAAUUUGAGUUAACUGGAAAGUCCAUUCUGGCCAUAUAAAACCAGGGCACAAGUUCACAAAGAAUUUACUCAACUUUCAAUCACUUUUUAUAAGAAAUAUCUUUGAUCCAGAAACGCAAAACUUUUCAGUUUCUUAUUGAUGUAUUUGAUAAGUUUUAUAAAGGGAUAUAUUUUAGUUCAAAUAAGGCGAACAAUUUUGAGUAAAUUCUUAAUUCUGAGAAUGCUUUGUGAACUCCGUUGCCAGACCUUUUCAUUUAUCUUAAAUUUAAUUUUCUUUAAAUAAUGCCUAGUAAUUAAAUAUUGUUUCAUUUUAUAAAUUGACCUAAAAAUAUUUGGAUGUGCUCUAUAUUUAGAAAAUUAAUGUUUACUUCUUUAUCCGGACAAAAAUGUCAUGUGUAGCCGUAUUCUAUUCCAGACCUAUCGAAAAGGGUUGGAGUCAUGUCAUCACGAUCGUCAGUGCUUCAUUUAAAAUAUCGUUCUUCAUUUGUAAAUAUCCAUGCUAUACUACAUUAAAUUAAAUCUUGUUUCGGAGCCAUGAAUUUGCAUCUGGGUGUCGAGUCCUGAUUGCAAACACGGUUUUGCAGAACAAUGGAACCACAUUAUCCUCCUGUUCAAUUGAUCAUAGGAAGUUUCUAGUGUCAUUUAUACCAUCAAUGUACUGCUCUUUUUUAAAAGGAGAAGAAAAAAUAAAAUUCAAAUUCA